CCAAGGAGUCUAACAUGUGCGCGAGUCAAUGGGGAUCUCUCGAGACCCACGGGCGCAAUGAAAGUGAAGGUUUGGUGAGCCUAUAAAAUGGUUCCGCCAACCGAGGCGGGAUCCGUCCGGGCCCGAGCUGGUAUUCGGGGUGAUCCGUCCUUUCAACUCGGCUGGUGGACGUCAAAAAUUCGCCACGUCGGGGAUGACAAGGGGCUGGGUCAUCUUAGAGCCGCUCGAUUGAUAUAAUUUCCGGCGGCGCACCGUCGGCCCGUCGCANACGCAACGUCGUUGCGGCGGAGCAUGAGCGUACACGUUGGGACCCGAAAGAUGGUGAUCUAUGCCCGGGCAGGACGAAGCCAGAGGAAACUCUGGUGGAGGUCCGUAGCGAUUCUGACGUGCAAAUCGAUCGUCGGACCUGGGUAUAGGGGCGAAAGACUAAUCGAACCGUCUA
This 442-nucleotide ribosomal RNA is filed under the name Paralamyctes grayi. Its description in RNAcentral is "eukaryotic LSU rRNA". It matches the Rfam family "Eukaryotic large subunit ribosomal RNA", at positions 666 to 946 of the family's 3401-position model. The record is from RNAcentral. Lineage: Eukaryota; Metazoa; Arthropoda; Chilopoda; Lithobiomorpha; Henicopidae.